UCUCGCCAUAACCAUGGCCAUUUUCAUCCGCACCAUAACCAGGAGAAUAUGACCUGCGAAUGUGAUCACCAUCUUGCUCUGGUGGAGGACCACCAGGAGACCUAAGAUGGUCUGCAUGCCUUCUACCUGGGGAAGCAGAGUAGUCCCGCCGCCUUGAGGCAGGAGAAUACGACCUUGAACGAUAUCGAGACCGAGAACUCAUAUGAUGACGAGGGGAGCGUGAUCGGGAUGGUGAUCGAGACCGAGAAUGUCCAUAAUAAGAUGAUCGUCCUCCAUAGCCUGAUGGUCCUCUAACCCUAGCUCUUUGCCGCAUUUCCUCAGGCCUUUUCCUUGUCUCUGCUGCAACCACAACAGAUAUUUCCCUCCCAGCAAAAAUUUGUCCAUUCAUGCGACGCUGAGCUUCCAUGGCAUCAUAUGAAUCCAAAAACUGCACAAAUGCAAACCCACGAGGUUCCCCUGUGUAAUAGUCCUUUGGAAUAUACACGUCCCUUACAACACCAAAUCUCUCAAAUGGAACUCUAAGUUCUUCUGGUCUGCAAUCAAGAGGGAUGUUUCGAACCAGUAGGCUUCCAUGAUUCUGCUCCUUGCGUCUCCCAUACCCCCCACCACCUCCAUAUCCUCUCCUUGGUGGGCUUCUGACUCGGCCUCCAUAUCCUCUCCUUGGAGGACUAUAAUAUGGUGGACUGUACCUCCUCAUAAUAUUGCCUGUGAAGAAACCAGAGAGAGAAAAUUAUGAGCUAAGAGAAGCGAAGCUUUCACUUGGACCUGAAGCCUGCAUAUAGCAC
This 785-nucleotide unclassified non-coding RNA is filed under the name Hevea brasiliensis (rubber tree). The record is from RNAcentral. Lineage: Eukaryota; Viridiplantae; Streptophyta; Magnoliopsida; Malpighiales; Euphorbiaceae.